CAGAUCAGAUCAAUAUUAUGAAUGUACAUGUAUCUUCAGAUCAAGAGCAUAAUAGAUUUAGAAUUUUUCAUAUUGUACCAAGAGUAGAAUUUUAAAUAUCAGUCAAAGACUACACAUGUUACAAAUAUGAACGUAUAUUUGAUAUACGUUUAUCAUAAUAAAAUAUGUGUCAUUGUUAUACAACCAGUGAAAAAUAUAUAUUAUGUAUAUCAUAACAAAUGCUUUAUGAAUGCAAAAAUGGUUUGACCAUAGUAUUUACAUGAAAAUCUAACUAAGUGACUACAUUUACAACAAAGACAGCUCAUUCAUCAUGUUCAUAAUGAACCUAUACACAUACAUGUAUGAACAACAUAUUAUUAUACCAUCAUUGAAAAAUAAAUAUCUCCAAUAGAUGUUAUUUCAAAUUGUGUGUAUGACAUGUUAAAAAAAAGUAGAAUGUGGCCCCUCUUGCAUAGAACAUUAAAAAGGGAGAUAACUCAAGCAGUCAUAGUGAAGCAACCCAAAUUUGCACUAGACCUGUGUUUUGUCAUAAUAAUUAGCAUUGCGUAUAAGUUUGAUAACAUUUGGUUGAGGCAAACUAAGUACAGAAUUCUGCAAUUAAUUCAGCAUGUUCAGUAACUUUCAAAGUGAUGCCACCUAUACAUAUACAUAAACUUAAUCUGUGUUCUAUGGUAAUCAUGGUAAUGAACUUUGUGUAUAGGUUUUAUAACAUUGGUCAAGGAAAACUUUAGUUUGAAAACAGAAAUCAAUUUUGGGAGGAACUAAUGGACAAUCAUACAGAUGGACAAGGGUAAACCUUAAUGCUCCCUCAGCUAUUGCAGGGACAUAACAACACCUACUAAUACGAAAUUUCAAAGAGAAGCAAGUUAUGAAUUAUGAAAUAAGAAAGACAAAAUUCCAAAAUAAUUUAUACUGACCAUUCUGACAAUGACUGACAUUUAACAGUAUUUUGUUUUGAAAAAUAAACUCAUGGAUCAAACAUUUAUUUAAUUAAUAAAAUUUUUCCAUUUUUGAAUUUGAAAGGCAGAAAAUGGUAUACUAUCAAACAUGUCCACUAUACAUGUACAACAAAAUUGCAUGCUUAAAAAGAAGCAAUUGAAAAAAAUUCAUAACAACUCGACAUGUAUAAAUAAAUAAGCUCUCUGAAAAUUUGUUUGGCAUGUUAACUCAAUUUGAAUACUAAAAUUUGAGAUUUUACUUAUGUUGUAAAACAUGAGCAUGAUGUAUGCAUAUGAUGUAGUACACUUUCUUCAUUCUUAUUUCUUAUUUUAAUAUUAUAUUCAGCGCACAUUUGAUAAAAUAAUUGAUUCGUAGACGAUUUGAAUUUCUUGCAAUAAUUUUCUUCUGAUCAUCAUGAUCAUAUCUAAAAAAGAUCACCAUAUAUCAUGAUCAAAAUGAAUGAAUUCGAAGUUUCUUAAAAAUUAGGAAAAUAAAUUACAAAAACCAAUUUAUCAUUUUAAUCCAAUUGGUGCUGCCUUAUACAUGUUAUAUUUUAACAUAUUACUGUUCCUACUUACAAUAAAAUAAUAAUUCUAAACUCAAAAAGAAAAUUUGAUACAAAAAAAAUAAUGCACUAGUAUCCAUGGCAUGUAUCUGAAAGCUUUAAAAAAAAGUUAUGAACACUUGUACUUUCACACACACACAUACUUGUACAUAUGAUUACCCAAAAACCAUGAAAACUGUUUUUAAAACAGAAUAAUUAAAAUAUGACAUUUAUGAGGUAGACUUAAAAAAUCAAAUUAACAAACUGUACAUGCUGUAUCAAAUGUUGAUUGUUUUCACCAUGAAGAUGGUGAGAACAUAUUUAACUCUUUCCUUUUGACUUUUUUUGUUUUAUGUAUUGU
RNAcentral lists this long non-coding RNA (1844 nucleotides) under Mytilus galloprovincialis (Mediterranean mussel). The record is from RNAcentral. Lineage: Eukaryota; Metazoa; Mollusca; Bivalvia; Mytilida; Mytilidae.